AAUCAGAAUCUCCCGGCAGUUGGUUCCCGGAGGCAGAAUCUGUUAAACUGACAAAGCCCACGUCUCCGGGUCCCUGUCUCGGGGAGUCGGGACUAUUGGGUCACCCCGGGUAGUCGAGACUCUAGACUGAGCUGUCUCGGUCACUCAGGAGGCAGUUGGCAGAGUAUUCGUGGUCAGGGAGGUGACCCGUGGUCAGCAGGGUCAGGCCACCCAGGGACAAAGGGUGCUCCUGCACCGGGCCUUGGAGAAGGACAGAGCGGUGGGGACUUGGGGUCAGCGGGGGAGCCUCCGCGGAUGGGGAGUCACCACCUGCCGGCAAUCAGCCAUGACUGCCUUUGCACUGUCCAUGCUCUCAGCCCACCACCUCCUCCCCCUGCCAUUGCAGUGGCUAACACUGGAGACGAAGACCAAGACACCACAGCCUUUCUCCAGUACCUCUCAAAUCAGCACAGACAAGGACAAAGGCCUCAAUCCACAACUGCUGAAGAUGGACCCUGGCCACAUGGGAUGGUCAGACACGCCUGCCCAGCUAUCUGCAGGCGAAGAGGCUCAGAAGAGGUUUAGGGGCCUGAAGGACAUCUUGCUUCCAUGUCCAUAUGAGCAGGCUAUUUCUGCUCCAUGAGUCAAUUUUGCCAUAUAAAAUACUUAAUUUCAGCCAUUCCAGGGUGCUAUAGGAUGCACAGCUUCCCAUCAGCCCACCUGAACUCCAGCCAUGCCAUUUUAAUACCAGGAAUAAGGUCACCUGCUUUCCUGCCCCUUAGGAGGCCGGAGCCGUGGAAGCAAAAUGGCACUUCUGUUUACCUGUUAUAUUAUUUUUUUGUCAUCCUUAUAUGUUUGAAAAAUGCAAUUAUAUGAAAAAAGUUUAGUAAUUACAGACAUAACAGCAGAAAGUCCUCGGAACCAAGCUUAUUCUCAUGGCCGAUUCUGCUCCACCUGGGACUCUGCUGUGCUGCGGGCAUCCUGUGGUCAGAAUCGCAGAGGGGCCAUCAGGGAGGACCUUCCCAGAGGAUGGACCUCACGUGACUGCUGCGUGGGCAAGUGGCACUGGCCACUCUGCCUGGAGAGAGGAGUAAAUGCAGGGCUGGCCAGGCGACCUGCACACUCUGCUACCGGCCUUGUCCAUCUUUAGCCUCUAAUUUGAAAAUGAGGAUCACACAGACCAAGAGUAUCUUUGAGGGUUAGUACAGACCACAGAAAUGCCCUGGGCCUUUCACUCUCUCCUUUUGCAAAUUCCCAUGUGUGGAAAUGCCGUUUGGAUAAUGAGGGAGCCUGAAGGAGGUGGACACAUGAGCAGCCCCGACAGGCCUGGCUCCAUCCUCUGAAAAUGGGGCCCCGUGCCCGGCGUGUGGCCUUACUGGUUCAGUCUUCUUUACAGUGGUAGGUUUUGAGUGCCCAGAUGCCCAGUGCCUCCUACCCGGAACAGGACAGGACCAGGCUGUCCCCUGGAAGAAUCCCAUGCACACUUGGCUAUUCAGGGAGUUUCCACCCAGCCGAGCUCGCCUCUGUGGCUACCCUGGUCUUGCUGCUCAUAUCUGCCAGGAAAGGCCUGGACUUGGAGAGAAACCUGGGAUUUGGAUUCAGUCCUUGCCAGCCUGGCUGGUUCAUAUCCUUACCUCUGUCUGUGGAAGCCUAUGUUCCUGAGCAGCGAGUCAGAGGGGGCAUCUGAACGCAGAGCAGGGAGCUUCAGAUGGGAAGAAGUCAGAGGAACCAGAAUGUAUCAGACGAUGUGGAGUUGGGUGCCUGAGCUCAAAGCAAGCUGGGCCUUGGGCUGGCUGUGUGAUCUUGGGCAAGUUCGACCAGCUUCUUUGUGCCUCUUUUCUCUCCUUAAUAAGAUAAAUGUCUUCACUAGUACACUGA
This 1857-nucleotide long non-coding RNA is filed under the name Homo sapiens (human). RNAcentral describes it as "non-protein coding lnc-GPCPD1-8:10". Lineage: Eukaryota; Metazoa; Chordata; Mammalia; Primates; Hominidae. The record is from RNAcentral.